Molecule: unclassified non-coding RNA, 1664 nt
Filed under: Leishmania donovani
Lineage: Eukaryota; Euglenozoa; Kinetoplastea; Trypanosomatida; Trypanosomatidae
Description: gene:unknown
Source: RNAcentral
AAAAGCGCGGACCCGGUGGCGUGCAACGGAUGCUGAGAAGGACUGCUGCUGUUCCUCACCAUUGAAGGAAGGCGAAAACGAAAGCAAAAAAAAAGGGACGGGGGAUUGCCGCUCUUUCACUGAGAAUCGAAAACUUUAACGCGCUGGACGUUGUCGUGUAGCACACGAUCGACAACGAAGGGCUUUGUGUGUACGCGUGGUGCAGUUCAAACACGAGUGAUGCCGGUGCCCGCUCUGACAGGAGUGAUAGCAGCUCUGCGUACCCGCGCAUGCAACACCGCUCACACGCCACCAGCACACGUGCCACGACCUACACUUUCAUCUCUCGUACCUUCUCUCAGCACCUGCGACACUGGCGACUUCAGCUUGACCAUCGAGUCCGAAUUGCAGAGUGCCGAGACGUAGCAGGGACACUCAUUGUAUUUCUUCCGCUACGUCAAGCACGCGGAUGAGGCCUCCUCGAAGCGCGGGGGGGGGGUGGACCAGCUCGUGGAGGCAGACUUGAAGGGAUCGGAGGCGGCUCUUACCAGCAGCACUGCCAAGGAUGAGGGCCUCCUGAAGGAGUGGUCACUCCGCACCCACUACAUCGAGCUCGCCUCCAUCCAAUGCACCAAACUAACUCACAAAAAAAAAACUCAUCGACAAGCGCACAGGCCAUCUUUCCGCAGGCUUCAUGGUGAACCCAGACAACGAAUUCAUGCACAUGGCGGCCGGCACCAUCCAAUACGACUGCAAGCCACACACUGAUCUAUAGGGGCCGUCAGCCUCGACGGCGGCGGCAAAGAUGCUGUGGCCCAAGCUCAUGACCGUGGUGCACGAGGACUUGGCAGGGCUGCUUGUGCACGAGAAGCCGGCUCUGCAUCGCAAGGUGGUGGCGGCCAUACGUGCAUUUCACGUGCGCUCCGAUGCAGCCAUCGGCACUGUGGCCACAUUCCGGCAGGCUUUAUGCGGUGCGCGACCCGAACCUGCUCUGCGCCGGCAUUCAGGUCGUCAGUGUUCUAUCGUUCGCGUGAUUCCUGGCUGAGCUGCAUAGCACCAGGAGGUGGCCAUGUGCAGCCUGUUGACGCCUCCUUGACAGCGCAGUUUGAGCGAGUUUUUCGGAAGAGUCUUGUCCUUGCCGGGGAAUGUAACAGACAGUUCCCAAUGACGAGUCUCUCUGACUGCACUGCGCGUCGUCGAGAUUAUCGGCACGGAGUUCACUGCUGCAGCGGCGUACUGCAGCGCACCCGGCGCGAGCGCCACAGGGGAGGGUGCUUGCAUGCCUUUUUGGUUGCAACGCAGCAAAGAUGAGCGUCACAGUGCGCUCCUCAGAGCGGGAGGUAAAGAUGUGGAGGUGAUGCGCCGAAGGCAAACAGUGUGACGGUAGAGGAGGGCAAGGCAAUGCGAUCAGCGACGUGUCCUCACGGCCACGCUUCUGUGGAGAGCCGAACGCCUGUGUCCUCUUGGCCGGAGGCCCUGCCAAACUGGCGAGUAAUGCGCGUUUCUCUCUGCUCUGCCCUGCCCGUCGUGCGCUUGCUUGCUUCGCGAGCGCCUUCUCCUUCGUUUUUUUUCUUUUUUUUCAGGGAGGGGGAGACGGGGCUUGCUCCAAGGGCGCUCCUACCUUCUUCUGCUCGUGGGCACUAAGACACACACGCACACACAUACACAAGAGAAAUACAGAAAAG